Delphinapterus leucas (beluga whale) is the source of this 8541-nucleotide non-coding RNA. NCBI's taxonomy places the organism in Eukaryota, Metazoa, Chordata, Mammalia, Artiodactyla, Monodontidae. The record is from RefSeq and is a predicted model, not a curated record.
GGCCAUUACAGAGUACUGAGUAGAGUUCCCUGUGCUAUACAGUAGGUCCUUAUUUAUUUUAUAUAUAGUAGUGUGUACAUCUCACUUAAUUGAGUUUCUUUACUUUUUUUUUCCUUCAAAUUAAAGCAUAGAUUUGCCUCAGAUUGGAAACUAAAGUAGUCAUGUCAUUAGCUAUGGGAUUCUUUAACCUGAAAGGCAAAAGGCAACAUGAUUGCAUUUAAGAAUGUAUUGGAUAAGAUAAAGAAUUGUGGGGUGAGACUGGAAGAAAUCUUUUUAAGAUGGCUGUAUUUUAACACCUCCUGCCUAAUAAAUUCACGUCCGAAGGGACAAAUGUGUGGAAUUUAGUCCUUCCAACAUUCCACUGAGUUAAUCAUUCUUUCUGUUCAAAGAGGCAGUGAGGAAUAAUUUGUGAGUCGCUGCAGUUAAAAAUAAAGUGCCAUAUGAGCACCCAAGGGCAGAGAUAAGGAUGGAGUUAUGGGUCUUAAGAGAAGAACCUGGCUUAGUUUACACAGGUGCCAAAUACAUGAACAAGAACACUCCAUUAAAAUUCCUCUCAAACAUUGUAUAUCUUACGAGAGUAGGUAUAUCUGUGGGCUUUCACAGUGGUCAAUCUUGCUCCAUUCAGCAUAAGCUUAAAAAAUAUUUGCAGAGAUUGACAGAAUUUAGGAUUAGCCUAAAAACCUCUCAGGUAUCCAGUGUUAAUUAUCUCUCCCUCCCUCUUUAUGCAUGCAUUAGUUUGCCCAACAAGUAACUGACCUCUGUUUAAAUAGCCACAGUGAUAUUGGGGCAGUUUAUUGCAUCUUUGGUCAGCUCUGUUUUCCUCUGGAUCCCUAGAACUGGAUGCAUUAUUCCAAAUUGGUUUUGUCCCACAAAACAGUAAAAUGAGGAACUGGGUAGGUAAGUGGCAAACAGCAUAAGUUAUUUGGACAUGUAGCUCACUCCAUAAGUAGACUAACCAAGUAAACAGGAAGCUAUUUGAGAAAUUUAACCAUAAUGUUUUUUUCAAAUGUUAUUUUUAAAUCUUUGGGAAUAUUUUCAUAAAAUAACAACUUCCAUCAUAUUACUUAGUAGAAUUACAGCAAGUUUUAGGAGCUGUCCGAGAUAAAAGAUGUUGCAUGUAAAACUAAAAUUAUACACAUAAGUAUGUAAUUGUACGCGUGUUGUAAUAAACUUAAAUCUCAGUUUGAGUUAUUUCUUACUUUAUAAUCAUUGAGUUUCUUUUCACCCAAGGUAAAGUGUGAGUAUAUUUUUAUACUUGCUGUAUUAAUUGACCAAACAAGCACUCAGUGAUAUUUUCAGAUGCCAAAAAGCAUUAUGGUGAAGACCAUGUUGAAUUAAUUAUCCAGCCAGCACUUUUAAGUUACUGUGAUCAUACACGUAUGCAUUAAGUUGAGCUUUACCCUUCUUCCCAUUAAGGACUAGAGCAGGAAUGGGCAAGCUAUAGCAAGCACUGCCUGUGUUUUUAUAGCUGGGCAGUUCAGAAGGUUGUUCACAUUUUUAAAGGGUUAUUGUGGAGGGGGGGAGGUGACCCUAUGUGACUGAGACUGUUUGUGGUUUGAAAAGCCUAAAAUGUUUCCUGUGUGGCCCCCUAUACAGAAAAAAAUGUGUGGAUUCCUGAACUAGAGCAAUUAAAGGAAAUAUUGUGAACUUAAGGCUUCUAAAAACAAGUAAUGAUCAACUGGUAACUGCUAAGCCAGAGAGCCUGCUCGUCAUCAAGGGAUCAAUUGGGACAUAGGAAAGAUGGAAGCCAGUUCAGGCAGGAGGUCAAAAUACAAAUAUCAAGAACUAGCUAAUGAAUAGGCAAAUAAUUAUAUAUCCUGGGUCAGAGCCAGUAGAUGGAAUAAUAUGCUAUCAUUAAAAUGAACUUAUAACAUGUAAAAAUGUUUCUGAUAUAUUUAUUUAGUAUAAGGCUUUAUACCCCAUGUCUUAGUGACUUAUAGGAAAAAAAUGUAAGACGACGUAUCACAGCAACUAGCGCAAAUAUAUGUCAUGUUUGAUUCAGUGCAUGUUUCUGUUGUGGCGGUGAGGGUUUUGCUUAAUCUCUUACCCGCUGACUGCUAGGUAAUAGGUUGUGCAGCAGCAUUCUCUGAAGUAUCAUGUUGGCACUACCUUUAAACAGAAACGGAUAGGUUAAGGAAAUGGUGAGUCAAGGCCUGAAUCAUGCUCAUUAUUCAAACAGAAUAAUGGAUGUGACAUUAAUAAACGGAAAAGGAUUACUUGCCUCCUCACUAGGAAAAUUUAACCUUCAAAUAUGGUACUACUAAGUAAAAGUUUUAAUGCACUGGAAUCAGAAAUUACUCUGAUUACUUUUUAUUACUUGGUAGACUAAUAAAGUUAAUCGGACAUAAUAAGCAUUGUCAAGCUAUUCUUUUAAAAUGAUGGACUCUUCAGUGAGGUGUGGGCAUUUUAUAAAGCUAUAUUGGACUUAAAAAUUGGUCACCAGUUCAUGUACAUACCAUGUGAGGUUGCCCUCCUUGGGCAGCCUUUGACUCAUCCUAAAAUUUAAAACAGGGCUGUGUACUUAAUCACAUUCACCAAAAAGAGAUGAGGGAUUAAAAGUAAUAAUUUACUGACAACUUCACAGGGGAGACUGAGUAGGGAGUUUAAAUUGCAAAAAUUAUCCUAUUUUGCUCACAAAAAUCCCAUGCAGUUAUUUCCUAAGAUUUUUUUUUAAUUGUGGUAACAGAAAUACAUGAGGUCUGUCCUCUUAAAGUGUACAGUAUUGUUUCUCCUAAGCUUUUGCUUCUCACUUUCCAGUUGCCCAGUCUUUCUAAAAAUGUCCUCCUCUAAGUCGUCUUUCUUAUGCAGAACAAUUUAGCAGUUGUGGGCAAUAUACAAAGUUAGCAGGUAUAUUCUUAUACUUGCUUAGGAAGUAGCAAAUAUAAUCAGAUUGUAUGUUCUUCUACCUUGUGGCAAGGUCCCACUGGGUAGAGGACUGAUACUACCAAGAACCUUGUAGCUGCUUGUCACAGAGGGACACAGCUAUAAAAGAAACAGAGCAUCUAACAUCUUUGAGGAGUGUCUCACUGGACUUAGCCCACUAAUUUUACCAGGUAUUUGGCAAGGUGUGACUGCAGUACAGGGUCUUUUUUUUUCCACAUCUUGAUUUAGGUCCUGGGCCUGCAAAGGCUUGACUUGCUCCAGUGCUUUCCCUCAACCCAGGCCCUUAGUCAGCAUUAUUAGAGUAAUAAAGAAUUGUAAAUUUUAAUCAUAUAUAGGUGGAGGAGAACUUAAUCUGGUUUAAUAAACUUGGAAUACAUUAUCUCUGAGCCUGAACAUCUUGAAUAAAUAACAUAAAGCAUUUGUAAAAACAGGUUGUUCUAUAAAAAGGCCUCAUUUCUAUCCAGCAUAUUUUAUUUGGCUGUGUUCCUUCCCUAUAAUAGGAUAGAACUUCAAGAAAUUCCAAAGCAGAUUUGCACUUUUGCAUAAAUUACUCAGUUUGUUGGCUGUCACGCCUCCAUAGGUUUUCUGUCUGAUUAUAUAAAAUCAGGAUAACUCGGGACUAACCAGAGAAAUGAUUCCAAGCAACCAUGAUGUAUUUGCCUUUAAAAGGCCAGUGGUUCUUAAAAAUGGGGAUUCUGGGUCAGCCUGUAGCAGAAUUACCUGUGGGGCCUGUUGAGAGUGCCUGUUUUUGACAAACCUACCAAGCUAAAAUCAAAUCAGUCCUCUAUUUUGAAAAGGUAACUAUAAUCAAAAGAAAUGUUCUCCUUUUUUGAGAAACUGAAACUGCAAUGAAGAGCUUGUCUCUUAAAAUAGUUAAGAGAAAUGCCAUAAUAUCAGGCUCCACAUUUAUGGGAUGUUUUUUAUGAAACCCAGAUCAAUAUUUUAACAAGACUUGAGGAAUGCAAAUAUUAAUAGGCUAUCUAGCAUGAACAGAUGUAAAUAGGAGUGUAUUUGAGCAACCAUGGUUUUUUAAGGGAGCUAUGAAUUUACAGUGCAAUCCUACAGGGAAAGAAGGGAGAGAAAACUGCUAUUUUGAGCUGCACACAGAUGAACUGCAUCACAUCUGAGAUUUGAUAGUCCCCUCUCCUCACUAUUCUUGUUGCACAGGAAAACUACAUGAUUAAAGGUAACUUGAUGUAAAAAAGAUACUUAACUGUAGAAGUCAGGGAAUCAUGAUAACACUUUCCAAGAUUGGGGGUGUGGGUGUGGGGGGGGGGUAUGUGUGUGUCCGGGGCGGGUUCACCUGGCCAGAGGAGUUAAAAUAACAAUGGGAUUAACAAUGUUCAAGAAAAUUUGUAUCAAAAAGGAAGUUAUUUGCAUGAUGGGUUCAACAUGAACAAUCUGAUACUGCUACCCAAGUGACCCUCUUUGGUAGGCUUUAAAAAUUUUUUUUAACAGUUACAUUAGUAAUCUGUGAACCCAACCAUUAACUGGAAAAUAGUCGAGGGGAAUCCAGGUGCAAAAAGCAGGUUCUUUGUACUUAAGGAAUACAGCUUCAAAACACCUCCAAAGUAUGGAUUAAAAUAGCAAUUCACCUUAUCACCUACCCCGGACUAAGAGCCCCACCUAUAAGACUUCCCCUGAUUCCCCAGGGAAGAGGGUCACAGUUCUUGAGGUGCUGUCAUGCUGUUUUUCCCGUUUCCCUGGCAAAGAUAAAGCUAUUGUUUUUUUCCUCAAAAAAAAAAAAAAAUCCUCAGAAUCCUUCCUUUUCUGAUGGUUUCAUGGAACCAAAUUAUGGUAAGAUUCUUUUGUUUCAAGCUCCCAGAAAGUAAGCUUAAAUGGCCUUAACCUGAGUUUUCUCCAGAAAUACUUACCUCGAUCCCAAAGACAUAGAGAUUAAUUUUGUGCCGUGACCUUUUGACAGCCCCAUAAAGCCUAUGAUCCCUUCUCAGCAUGCUGUAAAUGUGCUUUACGUAGUGCACACACAACUCUGAAUUCUGUCUGCGGACUCGUGGUUAGAAAUCCUUUGACAGGGGUCACAGUUCUGAGAGAAGGCUACGUAAUGAGGCCUGUAACUGCUGUUACCCCAGCACCUGUUCUGGAACCCCUUCUCUCAACUGACUUCGGAGAAACUAGCUCGCUUCAAAGUGGCUGAGUUGAGAAGCCACAGUGGGGAAUUUUUCUUUAGUUCUAAACGGAAAGAGAAAGAAGUUAGCCCUCUUCAGUCUGACCAGUCCAGAGGAGGGAGAGGUUCUGUCACCCAGUUUUGGCCUUUUGUGGAAGUAGCCCCUUUCACUGUAUACAUGAUAAACGGGCUUAAUCAUAACUAUGGACACACCCAAGACCCCCUUUCUCUUCAUCGAGAUCUCGCUCGCUUUUGGUGGGGCGGUAUUUGCCCUCAUGACCUCUACCAAGCCGUCCAAACAUUGGCUUCCCCGUCUGGAAGAGCGAGCUGUGGGUGUCUGCGCAGCAGAUUUAGGCUCGAGGCCUGGCCGUCGGCCCAAACGAGUCGGGACCUGGAGUUUUCGUCAGGGUGGCCGGCUAGCCAGCGCCGUCAAGAGCGUAACCGGCCCGCUUCCUGCGUCGCAGGGGCACCGCCCUCGCGGCCGGGGGAGGGGUCGGCGCCAGAAAGCCGCUCUCCCCUCCCCAGAGCCUUCCUGGCGGCCGGCGGCCAGCGGCCAGCAGUACUGCAGGGUCGGAGGCGGGGAGGGCCGUCCCGCGCAGCCGCUGCGCCGCUGGAGCAGCCGCCCCGCCCGCCUCGUCGCGGAGGAGCCCCAGAAACGCACUUCCACCGCGGCCGAGCCCACUUCCGCCUGCUGCUUCCUGGGGCCGCCAGGCCUGAGCUUUAGCUUCUCCGGAAUUCAUUAUACUGCUUAACACCCUGUAAAGCCACCCUCUCCUCGUUCUUUCCAAAACCCGUAUAAUGCCGCUUCCACUUCGUGGCGCACACUGCUCAAACUGAACCCGGCGCAACCGCCAUCUUCGGAAAUGCUGGUAGCUGUCGGUAUGUCCCUCGUUCUGUGUGCAGAGCGGAAAUGACUGCUCGUUAUUCUCGAUGCUCUACUAGGGGAGGCCAGAGCAAUAAUGUCCCUGCUAUGGGAAGGACCUGCUUUUGAAUUCUGAGUCCCCUAUCACCUAUUAGCAGCUGUGUCCAAAUUUAAAAGGUUACUUAAUUUCGCCGAGUCUCUUAUAGAUGGAUCAAACGAGGUAAACCAUACAGAGCCCUUAGAACAAUACCUGGCAUAGAGCGGUAUCUAGCAUAAAGGUUAAGUAAAAACAAGGAAAAGUUAAAAGGAUUUUUCGAGCACCUAUUUGCUCAAUAUUAUGUUGGUUUUGUUAGGCAAAGAUUCUCUCCGUCCCCAUAGGAAUGGCCUCCCACCUGAAAGAACUGGUGUUUGUCUAAUGGUUUCUCAGUAUGUUUACCAGCUCCCAGGCAUCCUUUAAAGCUCCUGGUUCCUAAGGAAGUUUCUGCUCGUGUUCAACGUGACUUGCCCCUAUUGCAGAGCUUUGUACUGGAUGAGUAUUCUGUAGAGAUGGUGGACAAGCCUACGUUUGGUAUGACUGUAGCAUUAACCUUUUUUUUAUUUCACAGGGAAAAUGGAGAUGAAUGAAGAGCUAGACAGGCCUCUUCCCAGGUACAUUUUAGGCUGCUGCCUGACAGCAGGCCAUAAUGCUUCCGAACCCUGGCCCCCUACCAUUUGCAACCAGGUGCAGAUUGGAGGCCGCGGGGUGGAGGCUGGGGAGCGGGGGUUGAGUUUUGAAAAAAAGAUCAAGAGAAAGAUGCUAGUUUUUUUUUUUUUUUUUUAGUUGCGCUAAUGACUCUAGUAGUUGUGCUUCUUGUGAUAACUUAUAAGGGAAUGAUAGAGAAUUAAACGUACAAAAGGUUUAUUAUUUUUCACCAAAAAAUGGAGAAACUCCAAACUUGUGACCAACUCAUUCAUGAUCCACUGAGUCUCACUGAGUCUUGACAUGUUGAAGAAUAAUUAGAACUUUACUCUUCCGGGCUGAGUUGUUAACUUGUUUCGAUUGAUUUCUGCAUUCCCAGCAGGACUCUUUUAAGUCCUUGCCCCUUCAGACCCUAACUAUUCUCACUGCCGCAUAACUUGAGACUGGAUGAUACCUUCAAACACCACAGUUCCCACUGUGGAGUGAAAUUAUCUGAUCCUUACACCGGUUAAAGAGGUGGAGGUUCCUUAUACUUAAGAACUUUUUUUAACUUAAGUUAUACUACAAUAAAAAACCAAAAAUGAAAUGACAUUUUUAAUGUUGAAUGGCAUGGAAAGGUGAGCAUCUUGUAUAGUUUGAUGAAAUCACAUGUACAAGGUAAUCUCAUUUUUGUAAAAAAAAUUAUAAGAAUAUGCAUCAAAAUGGUGAUUUUCCUCUUUAUGUUUAUUUUUUUAAUGUUCUGCAGUUAUAAUAGUGGAAAAUAAAAGUUAUUUUGUAAACUGUCUAUGUGACUUAGAUGAAUAUUCUGUUAGCUAACUCCUCAGUUUCCAUAGAGGUAAACAAAUAAUGUCAGUUUGAUAAAUCAAGAAAUAGAAACAUAAACAUUAUUUCAGAAUCUGGAGUCACCUCUAAAAGAUACUGCCUCUUGAGGCUGAGGAUGGGGUCAUGUUCCUUUUCAUUUUAAGCUCUUGGAUAUAAGUGUGGGGUUUUUCUUUUCUUUUUAAAAAAUAUAUGUACAUUUUACUUCGCUAAAUAAAUUUUAAAAGGUAAAAUAUAUCUCAGUGUGUAAUUUUUUUUAAAUUUAUUUUCAUCCAGGUUACCCUACCCUUUCCAGGUUACUCUUCCCUUUCCCUUCACGCUCUGCCCUUCAACAGGCAGGGCAAAGAGAAAUUUGAAAACCUGGCUGAAAGGCACUUUGAAUAGAAAUCAGUAGAGACAAAUUACAAAUUGCUCAGUAUAAAGCAUGAGGGUUUUGUUUUUGUUUUUAACUGAGGGGCUAAAAAUACAGCUGCUUAAUUGUCAUAAACUGCAUCGUACUCUUUCUGGGAUGGCCUUUUGGCUUGAAUCCGUUACUGAUUAGGUAUCUUGUAGCACUGUGGGAACUGCAUUAUCAGAACAGUUUUAAAGUCACAGCUUGCGUAUUUGGUGCCCUCUAGUGCACUAUUUUCAAAUGACAAAAGCAUAGUUUAUCCAUGCCACGCUGUUAACUGAAGAGGAUAAAAUGUACAUUUCAAUCCACCUUCCCAGUGUGAUUGAUCUUGUUUCUUUUCCUGACAUCCAAAGACACUGAUUCCUCUCUGCACAUACACAUUAUUUCAUAUCAUGACACUCACUAGGCUGUGACCUUGCACUGACUAGUUCCUUAAUCUCUGGGCUUCAAUUUCCUCAUCUGUAAAACGAGGAUGAUAAUCGUCAGAACUGUAAUGUGGACGCCCUGCACACACGGGGGGCGCACUCACUGCUAGCUAUCUUUUUUUUACAUUUAAUAGAUCCAGUCGAUACUAAACAUGCUUGAAGACAGUAAUCAGUCUUGACUCAGGAGACCUUAUCUAGUUUUCCUGCAUUGACAGACUUGGACUUCGGUGCUUAACAUCACUACCUCCUAGAUUCCCCAAGAGCCCAGUUACCUGAAGAAAGCACUGGGUGCUUCUGACCCCGUGAAUGCCUCUGGAGUCUUUGGUCUUGUAUGUAAUAAAUGUCCCCAUGCUUAUU